RNAcentral lists this ribosomal RNA (692 nucleotides) under uncultured Lysobacteraceae bacterium. Its description in RNAcentral is "bacterial SSU rRNA". It matches the Rfam family "Bacterial small subunit ribosomal RNA", at positions 90 to 778 of the family's 1533-position model. Lineage: Bacteria; Pseudomonadati; Pseudomonadota; Gammaproteobacteria; Lysobacterales; Lysobacteraceae. The record is from RNAcentral.
GGCGAGCGGCGGACGGGUGAGGAAUGCAUCGGAAUCUGCCUUUUUGUGGGGGAUAACGUAGGGAAACUUACGCUAAUACCGCAUACGUCCUACGGGAGAAAGUGGGGGACCGCAAGGCCUCACGCAGAAAGAUGAGCCGAUGCCGGAUUAGCUAGUUGGCGGGGUAAAGGCCCACCAAGGCGACGAUCCGUAGCUGGUCUGAGAGGAUGAUCAGCCACACUGGAACUGAGACACGGUCCAGACUCCUACGGGAGGCAGCAGUGGGGAAUAUUGGACAAUGGGCGCAAGCCUGAUCCAGCCAUGCCGCGUGAGUGAAGAAGGCCUUCGGGCUGUAAAGCUCUUUUGUUGGGGAAGAAAUCCUGUCGGUUAAUACCCGGCGGGGCUGACGGUACCCAAAGUAUAAGCACCGGCUAACUUCGUGCCAGCAGCCGCGGUAAUACGAAGGGUGCAAGCGUUACUCGGAAUUACUGGGCGUAAAGCGUGCGUAGGUGGUUCGUUAAGUCUGAUGUGAAAGUCCUGGGCUCAACCUGGGAACUGCAUUGGAUACUGGCGAUCUGGAGUGCGGUAGAGGGUAGCGGAAUUCCCGGUGUAGCAGUGAAAUGCGUAGAUAUCGGGAGGAACAUCCGUGGCGAAGUCGGCUACCUGGACCAGCACUGACACUGAGGCACGAAAGCGUGGGGAGCAAACAGGAU